GAAGGGCACUGGUAGGGUACUAGCUAGGGCACUAGGAAGGGCACUGGGUAGGGCACUGGGAAGGGCACUGGGUAGGGCACUAGCUAGGGCACAUUUAUGUUAGACCCUAGGUAGGGAGCACACUUAGUGAGUUAAAUUAAAUUCAAUUAAAAUGAAUUCCCAGAAGGUUUUAUGACCGAAUUAAACACCGCCGACAAACAGCCGCUGUAUUGCAAAAAUUCUUUCAUUUUGUAAUUUUUUUUUGUGAACAAAAUGAACUCUGAUCUCUGGAGUUUUGGAGUUUCAUCACGAAGGAAUGAUUUUUAUUUAAAGGAGCGGCAUGUAAUAAUUAGCGCCCUCUUCUGCCUGUAGUGAGAUGCCGUAGAAACGCAGACGAGCCUUUAUCUUUCCCUUCUGCUAGCAUUAUUUGCGCCUCGUAAAUUGUUUAGUGAAGAAAAAGUGGGCGUGGCUUAGCACCUGUUCUGACUAGGGGUGGAGCUAAUUGCAGCAGACUUUUUUAAAAAGGUCUAGAUUGAUCUGAAUUGAUUUUUCUCUCUUGUGUAACACCCCAGAACACUUUUAUUCCCCAGCUGAACGGCAUUAUUAUUUCUUUAUUAUUAUUAUUAUUAUUAUUAUUAUUAUUAUUAUUAUUAUUAUUACUUCUUCUUUCUAUAUCUUAUCUUUACUCUGAGCGGACUUGAUCUUAAACUUUACUUCAGUACUGGAGUUUCUGUUCUUUAGGAGAAAUCUCUGCACGAGUGUGUAUUCACUCAGAGUUCCGGUGUGACAGGCUAACGCUUUGCUAAUUAGCGCUAAUGAGCCACAGUUCCUCUCUAAAGAAGAGCGUGUCUUAAUCAGGCCCGAGCUUUGCCUCUGACAUUAACGCGUGUCCCGGUUUGUCCUGUUGUGAUUCAGCUCGCCCUCAGCAUCCGUCACAGGCCACUGACGCUAUCAGAGGUCCGGCAUUAGCCGUUAGCGAGGAGCAGGUAAUAAUAGCCGUGCUCCAUUAACCCCGGGAGUGCUAAUCCGCUCUCAGUCCGUAGGUUCAUCCCUCUGUGCUGAGGAUUACGGGAGACCUGAUCGUUCACGAUCGAGGUCACCUUCACGGGUCGAGGUCAC
This is a long non-coding RNA of Ictalurus punctatus (channel catfish), 1098 nucleotides long. NCBI's taxonomy places the organism in Eukaryota, Metazoa, Chordata, Actinopteri, Siluriformes, Ictaluridae. The record is from Ensembl.